RNAcentral lists this ribosomal RNA (2869 nucleotides) under Drosophila virilis. RNAcentral describes it as "eukaryotic LSU rRNA". The stretch from base 1700 to 2869 matches the Rfam family "Eukaryotic large subunit ribosomal RNA", at positions 1891 to 3293 of the family's 3401-position model. Lineage: Eukaryota; Metazoa; Arthropoda; Insecta; Diptera; Drosophilidae. The record is from RNAcentral.
AUUUGGCUUUCGACCUGGACGCUGUGUCGAGGACGCCUGGAAGCACGUGAUGACCAGCGUUGCCGCCAGCCAGGCGGUAUACGUACUUGGUCUCUUCGUGGACUUUAAAGGCGCGUUUGACAACAUUGAGUGGAGCGCCGCGACGCGCCGCUUGAUCGAUGCGGGAUGCGAGAAAGCUAGCUUGUGGAGAAGCUUCUUCUGUGGCAGGAAAGCCAGGAUGACCAGCAGAUGUGGCGAAGUCGAGGUGGAGGUCAGCGAGGGUGUCCCCAGGAAUCCAUCAGUGGGCCGUUCAUCUGGAACACCAUGAUGGAUUUCCUGCUCCAACGCCUGAAGCCCUUGUGCACAUUUAGUGCAUAUGCCGAUGACCUGCUGGUUCUAGUCGAGGGAAGAUCGAGAGCUGAACUGGAGCGUCGAGCAGCUGAGCUACUGUCCGUCGUGGGAGCUUGAUGAGCCGAGGUCGGAGUGUCGAUCUCAACCAGUAAGACGGCAAUGAUGAUGUUGAAGGAGCGUUUUGCCGUUUCCAGGCCGCCCGUGGUACGGUUUGCAGGAGCAAGCCUACCAUAUGUCGACAAGUACCGGUACCUUGGCAUCACAGUCGGUGAACGGUUGAAUUUUCAGCCGCAUAUCGCAGGAUUGCGGGAUAAACUGACUGGAGUCGUCGGAGCAUUAGGCCGCGUGCUACGGGUUGACUGGGGCCUCAGUCCCUUAGCCAGACGCACUGUAUAUGCCGGACUCAUGGUGCCUUGCGCACUGUUUGGUGCCUCGGUAUGGUAUUCCGUGGUCAGGGGAGAGUCGGGGGCCAGGAGGCGCCUCAUCUUCUGCCAAAGAGUCAUGCUCUUAGGAUGCCUACCGGUAUGCCGUACAGUGUCCACCGUGGCACUGCAGGUGCUUGCUGGAGCUCCGCCGUUGGAUUUGGUUGCCAAGCAAUUGGCAAUCAGAUUCAAGGUCAAGCGUGCCCACCCGUUGGAGGAUAGUGACUGGCUGUUCGGUCUAGAUGUGGCAAAUCUAGACCAGAGGCGGAUGAAGGCGUUGCUGGACGAGGGCAUGUGCUCCGAGUGGCAACGGAGAUGAGAUAGUGAUGAGCAUGGUCGACCGUUUAUCAUCAGUUUAUCCCGGACGCAUGGAUUCUUGCUGACGGCCCACGGGUCACUAAAUGCAUUUCUGCAUCAGAGAAGUUUGAAUGCAACGCCCGCAUGUCAAUGCGUGAAGUGCAACCACACAGGGCCGACCAGUGCCGGGCUGACGUUAGUCAAAACUGGGAGUGUCAUGGACCGUGUCACGAAGCCGAACAGAGCUUAAUAUUGUAGACAAAUCCCAAUUUGGGGUGAGUCGAACAUUGGAUGACCCAUUCCGUGUUUGUCGUCAACAAAAACUGGGAAGUGGCAAUUGCUACGAACUGCCGACCAAAGCUGUAAUUUGGUACUACGGGUAACCGGGAGCCCAUGGAACUCGUUCCGUCCUGGUUAGUUGGUGUGGCUCUUCGGGGAGUAUCGUGGUGGCUGUGGUUCGAUACCCAAUUGUGGUUCGAUACCCAACCGGGUGCUGUACCCAAAGACUAGCGGAGGUAUAGAUAGACCUCACCUCCCAAGGGGGAAUGUCAUGUUCAAUAAGCAUGCAUUCAAUUUGGUACCGAAGGGGCACUCACAUACAGUGUCUUGGAGGGGCGCAAGUCCGACGCUUUGUUUCGGCUCGCUGUAUUUCGAAUACCGUGGUACUAAACCCCUACGGGGUACACGCCACGUUAAACAAAUAUGUUUUGUUACGUCCCUAUCUACGAUCUAGCGAAACCACAGCCAAGGGAACGGGUUUGGAAUAAUUAGCGGGGAAAGAAGACCAUUUUGAUGUUGACUCUAAUCUGGCAGUGUAAGGAGACAUAAGAGGUGUAGAAUAAGUGGGAGAUAUUAGACUUCGGUUUGGUAUCGACAAUGAAAUACCACUACUCUUAUUGUUUCCUUACUUACUUGAUUAAAUGGAACGUGUAUCAUUUCCUACCCAUUAUACGGAUAUAAUUAUUAUGUCUUAUGGUAUUGGGUUUUGAUGCAAGCUUCUUGAUCAAAGAAUCACGAGUUUGUUAUAUAAUCGCAAACAAAUUCUUUAAUGAGAGAAUGCAUUUAUGUAUUAUUGAUUUAAAAAUUUGGUAUAACUCUAAUUACUCAGGUAUGAUCCAAUUCAAGGACAUUGCCAGGUAGGGAGUAUGACUGGGGCGGUACAUCUCUCAAAUAAUAACGGAGGUGUCCCAAGGCCAGCUCAGUGCGGACAGAAACCACACAUAGAGCAAAAGGGCAAAUGCUGACUUGAUCUCGGUGUUCAGUACACACAGGGACAGCAGAAGCUCGGCCUAUCGAUCCUUUUGGCUUAAAGAGUUUUUACCAAGAGGUGUCAGAAAAGUUACCAUAGGGAUAACUGGCUUGUGGCGGCCAAGCGUUCAUAGCGACGUCGCUUUUUGAUCCUUCGAUGUCGGCUCUUCCUAUCAUUGUGAAGCAAAAUUCACCAAGCGUUGGAUUGUUCACCCAUGCAAGGGAACGUGAGCUGGGUUUAGACCGUCGUGAGACAGGUUAGUUUUACAGCAUUCCCGCGUAGUACGAGAGGAACCGCAGGUGCGGACCAAUGGCACAAUACUUGUUCGAGCGAACAGUGGUAUGACGCUACGUCCGUUGGAUUAUGCCUGAACGCCUCUAAGGUCGCAUCCGUGCUGGACUGCAAUGAUAAAUAAGGAGCAAUUUGCAUUGUAUGGCUUCUUAACCAUUAAAAGUUUUUAAUUUGUUUUAUUAACGACAAUGGAUGUGAUGCCAAUGUUAUUUAUAACAUAGUAUAUUAGGAGGAUCUUCGAUCACCUGAUGCCGCGCUAGUUAUAUUUAAAACAUUAUUU